AACGGCGAGUGAAGCGGCAACAGCUCAAAUUUGAAAUCUGGCUCUUUCAGGGUCCGAGUUGUAAUUUGUAGAGGAUGUUUCGGGUGUGGCUCCGGUCUAAGUUCCUUGGAACAGGACGUCAUAGAGGGUGAGAAUCCCGUAUGUGACUGGUAGCCUAUGCUCAUGUGAAACUCCUUCGACGAGUCGAGUUGUUUGGGAAUGCAGCUCAAAAUGGGUGGUAAAUUUCAUCUAAAGCUAAAUAUUGGCCAGAGACCGAUAGCGCACAAGUAGAGUGAUCGAAAGAUGAAAAGCACUUUGGAAAGAGAGUUAAACAGUACGUGAAAUUGUUGAAAGGGAAGCGCUUGCAACCAGACUUGCAUGUAGCUGAUCAACCGGUGUUCUCACCGGUGCACUCAGUUGCGUUCAGGCCAGCAUCGGUUUCGACGGUUGGAUAAAGGCCUUGGGAAUGUAGCUUCUUUCGGGGAGUGUUAUAGCCCAGGGUGCAAUGCAGCCUGUCGGGACCGAGGACCGCGCUUCGGCUAGGAUGCUGGCGUAAUGGUUGUAAGCGACCCGUCUUGAAACACGGACCAAGGAGUCUAACAUCUAUGCGAGUGUUUGGGUGUCAAACCCAUACGCGUAAUGAAAGUGAACGGAGGUGAGAACCCUUAAGGGUGCAUCAUCGACCGAUCCUGAUGUCUUCGGAUGGAUUUGAGUAAGAGCAUAGCUGUUGGGACCCGAAAGAUGGUGAACUAUGCCUGAAUAGGGUGAAGCCAGAGGAAACUCUGGUGGAGGCUCG
RNAcentral lists this ribosomal RNA (775 nucleotides) under Phacidium grevilleae. RNAcentral describes it as "eukaryotic LSU rRNA". It matches the Rfam family "Eukaryotic large subunit ribosomal RNA", at positions 85 to 877 of the family's 3401-position model. The record is from RNAcentral. Lineage: Eukaryota; Fungi; Ascomycota; Leotiomycetes; Phacidiales; Phacidiaceae.